GUUGGAUUUCUGUUAAUAAUUUAUAUAAAAUAUUUUGAUGAAUAUUUAUAUAAUAUUAACAUAAUUCAUAUUACUAUAUAUUUUAGUAUAUGAAAUUUUACUUUGAGAAAAUUAGAGUGCUUAAAGCAGGCAUAUGCCUUGAAUACUCCAGCAUGGAAUAAUAUUAAAGAUUUUUAUCUUUCUUAUUGGUUCUAAGAUAAGAAUAAUGAUUAAUAGGGACAGUUGGGGGCAUUUGUAUUUAACAGUCAGAGGUGAAAUUCUUAGAUUUGUUAAAGACAAACUAAUGCGAAAGCAUUUGCCAAGGAUGUUUUCAUUAAUCAAGAACGAAAGUUAGGGGAUCGAAGACGAUCAGAUACCGUCGUAGUCUUAACCAUAAACUAUGCCAACUAAAGAUUGGAGGUUGUUCCUUACUC
Molecule: ribosomal RNA, 413 nt
Filed under: Cryptosporidium parvum
Lineage: Eukaryota; Apicomplexa; Conoidasida; Eucoccidiorida; Cryptosporidiidae
Description: SSU rRNA
Rfam family: Eukaryotic small subunit ribosomal RNA
Source: RNAcentral